This 496-nucleotide ribosomal RNA is filed under the name uncultured bacterium. RNAcentral's name for it is "partial 16S ribosomal RNA". It matches the Rfam family "Bacterial small subunit ribosomal RNA", at positions 29 to 507 of the family's 1533-position model. The record is from RNAcentral.
AUGAACGCUGGCGGCGUGCCUAAUACAUGCAAGUCGAGCGAACGGACGAGAAGCUUGCUUCUCUGAUGUUAGCGGCGGACGGGUGAGUAACACGUGGAUAACCUACCUAUAAGACUGGGAUAACUUCGGGAAACCGGAGCUAAUACCGGAUGAUAUUUUGAACCGCAUGGUUCAAAAGUGAAAGACGGUCUUGCUGUCACUUAUAGAUGGAUCCGCGCUGCAUUAGCUAGUUGGUAAGGUAACGGCUUACCAAGGCAACGAUGAAUAGCCGACCUGAGAGGGUGAUCGGCCACACUGGAACUGAGACACGGUCCAGACUCCUACGGGAGGCAGCAGUAGGGAAUCUUCCGCAAUGGGCGAAAGCCUGACGGAGCAACGCCGCGUGAGUGAUGAAGGUCUUCGGAUCGUAAAACUCUGUUAUUAGGGAAGAACAUAUGUGUAAGUAACUGUGCACAUCUUGACGGUACCUAAUCAGAAAGCCACGGCUAACUACGUG